Molecule: ribosomal RNA, 253 nt
Filed under: uncultured bacterium
Lineage: Bacteria
Description: partial 16S ribosomal RNA
Rfam family: Bacterial small subunit ribosomal RNA
Source: RNAcentral
UACGAAGGGGGCUAGCGUUGCUCGGAAGCACUGGGCGUAAAGCGCACGUAGGCGGAUUGUUAAGGCAGGGGUGAAAUCCUGGAGCUCAACUCCAGAACUGCCUUUGAUACUGGCGAUCUUGAGUCCGGGAGAGGUGAGUGGAACUGCGAGUGUAGAGGUGAAAUUCGUAGAUAUUCGCAAGAACACCAGUGGCGAAGGCGGCUCACUGGCCCGGUACUGACGCUGAGGUGCGAAAGCGUGGGGAGCAAACAGG